AUGCUAUUAUUAUCUCUCUUAGUUCUCUUCCUCACCUCCCCGGCUUCGUCGGAAGGUCAGGCACUUUGCAGCGACAAUAAUGGCGGCAUGUACAUGCCAAACAACACCUACAAAUCCAACCUUGUAUCCCUCGCCGAAUUACUGUUUGCCAAAGCCACAAAGGAGCACUCAGCUACUGGCACGGCUGGCAUAGGACCAGACAAGGUCUAUGGUGCAGUGCUUUGUCGGGGUGAUUCUGAUGGCUCCGACUGUCGGGAGCGCCUAGCCAGGGCCCUUGAUGAAGCAAUCAACAGCAAAGCUGGCAACUCUUACUCCCUCCAGAGUAAUAACGUGACCUACUACUACGACCAAUACCAGGCACAGAUAAGCUUCUCCGACCAGGACUUCCUUUCCAACUUCAGCGACAUGCCCGGGUGCACCGUGAAUACUAACCUGAAUUAUGUGACGGACACUGUAGUAGCCGAGCGUUAUGAAGACCUUGUCACCAAGCUGCUGCAUGCGCUUGCUGAUGUUGUGGUGAGCCGAGCAAAAAAAUAUGCAGUCGGCAAAGUGUGGUUUGAGGAGACAGGACAGACGGUGUAUGGGCUGGCGCAGUGCAUACGGGAUAUGCCAUAUGAGCAUUGCGCGGCAUGCCUGGAUCGCAUAAUCUCUGGCAGGCAGAGUAAGAUCAUUUCUGGCCAGAUGGGGGCAACACUUCUUGGGGUGUGGUGCACAUUGCGUUAUGAGACGAACACAAAGUUCUUUACUGAUACCAAGAUGCAGUCGCUCGAUGCGCUCCCAAGAAGUAAGACACACUUUUUUCGAUGGAACAAUGCAGUCUUGGUUGGCGUUGGAGGUUUCAUACUAGUAAUAUCAAUUUCUUGCUUGGUUUUCCAUAUCUGGGUCAAAACACAAUGA
RNAcentral lists this ribosomal RNA (897 nucleotides) under Triticum aestivum (bread wheat). Its description in RNAcentral is "partial small subunit ribosomal RNA". The record is from RNAcentral. Lineage: Eukaryota; Viridiplantae; Streptophyta; Magnoliopsida; Poales; Poaceae.